This 469-nucleotide ribosomal RNA is filed under the name uncultured Legionella sp. RNAcentral's name for it is "bacterial SSU rRNA". It matches the Rfam family "Bacterial small subunit ribosomal RNA", at positions 333 to 796 of the family's 1533-position model. The record is from RNAcentral. Lineage: Bacteria; Pseudomonadati; Pseudomonadota; Gammaproteobacteria; Legionellales; Legionellaceae.
UGACCUACGGGAGGCAGCAGUGGGGAAUAUUGGACAAUGGGGGCAACCCUGAUCCAGCAAUGCCGCGUGUGUGAAGAAGGCCUGAGGGUUGUAAAGCACUUUCAGUGGGGAGGAGGUUUGCUAGGUUAAGAGCUAGGCGAAUGGACGUUACCCACAGAAGAAGCACCGGCUAACUCCGUGCCAGCAGCCGCGGUAAUACGGAGGGUGCAAGCGUUAAUCGGAAUUACUGGGCGUAAAGCGUGCGUAGGUGGUUGAUUAAGUUAUCUGUGAAAUCCCUGGGCUUAACCUGGGCAGGUCAGAUGAUACUGGUUGACUCGAGUAUGGGAGAGGGUAGUGGAAUUUCCGGUGUAGCGGUGAAAUGCGUAGAGAUCGGAAGGAACACCAGUGGCGAAGGCGGCUACCUGGCCUAAUACUGACACUGAGGCACGAAAGCGUGGGGAGCAAACAGGAUUAGAUACCCCGGUAGUCU